RNAcentral lists this transfer RNA (63 nucleotides) under Cherax monticola. RNAcentral's name for it is "tRNA-Arg". The record is from RNAcentral. Lineage: Eukaryota; Metazoa; Arthropoda; Malacostraca; Decapoda; Parastacidae.
AAAUUAGAAAGCGAAAAAUUGCAUUUAGUUUCGACCUAAAUUUUGGUAUUAUAACCUCUAAUU